This 253-nucleotide ribosomal RNA is filed under the name uncultured bacterium. RNAcentral describes it as "partial 16S ribosomal RNA". It matches the Rfam family "Bacterial small subunit ribosomal RNA", at positions 524 to 776 of the family's 1533-position model. The record is from RNAcentral.
UACGAAGGGGGCUAGCGUUGUUCGGAUUUACUGGGCGUAAAGCGCACGUAGGCGGAUCGUUAAGUCGGGGGUGAAAUCCUGGAGCUCAACUCCAGAACUGCCUUCGAUACUGGCGAUCUUGAGUCCGGAAGAGGUGAGUGGAACUCCUAGUGUAGAGGUGGAAUUCGUAGAGAUUAGGAAGAACACCAGUGGCGAAGGCGGCUCACUGGUCCGGUUCUGACGAUGAGGUGCGAAAGAGUGGGGAGCAAACAGG